CCGCCGGCGACCGGCGCACGGGUGAGUAACACGUAUGCAACCUGGCCGUGACAGAUGGAUAACCGGGAGAAAUCCCGCCUAAUACAACAUAAUGCCGGGAGGGGACAUCCCCUGCCGGUCAAAGGGGGCGACCCCGGUCACGGAUGGGCAUGCGGCGCAUUAGGUAGUUGGUGGGGCAACGGCCCACCAAGCCGACGAUGCGUAGGGGUUCCGAGAGGAAGGUCCCCCACAUUGGAACUGAGACACGGUCCAGACUCCUACGGGAGGCAGCAG
Molecule: ribosomal RNA, 273 nt
Filed under: uncultured bacterium
Lineage: Bacteria
Description: partial 16S ribosomal RNA
Rfam family: Bacterial small subunit ribosomal RNA
Source: RNAcentral